Phlebotomus papatasi is the source of this 7955-nucleotide RNA transcript. RefSeq lists it as uncharacterized. NCBI's taxonomy places the organism in Eukaryota, Metazoa, Arthropoda, Insecta, Diptera, Psychodidae. The record is from RefSeq and is a predicted model, not a curated record. The transcript has 3 exons.
AUGUAUGUGUAUAUCAUAAAAUGUUAAAGACGGUGAAAUUGAGGUUCUAUUUAUAACUCUGCGCACUUUGGAUUGCGCACUUGUUGUCUGUACUUAUAUAUGUUUUUAUAUUUCUUCUGUUAUAACUGCACGAAAAAAAAUAAAACACAAAAUACCACUCCUAGAGAUAGAAUCACUAACUCACUACUAACAAUUUAAUAAUCCAUCGUCAUCUUCAAUAAGUGUAUCUCAAGAAAACUGACAAAAGGCAUAAUUUUCUUCUUUAUUUUUUUUUCACUUUAUUCAUUUCAUUGCAAUGUAAUUUUCUGUAUUAGUGAUCAAUAUAUUUUUUUCAUAUUUACUUAUAUUGGAUUUUUUUUCUCAGAAAUGUUAUUCUCUUUGUUUCAUUAGAAAAUUCCACCGUCUUCACGUAAGUGUUGACGGUGUUGUUGCAGCACCAGAGCAGUUAUUUUAACUAUUUAUAGAUUUCUAAUUAAACUGAUAAGAAACACCAAAGAGAUUAGGCUUAAAGCAAACAUAUCGAAGAUAGAGGAAAUAUUUCAAGCAAGUUUCACACCACGUGUUGCAUUUUAUAAUUUUGCACACAAAUAUGACCUAUUUAUCCUCCUCAGACCACCACUUUUAAACGAAACAUAUUCCGGAAAUAUUCUACUGUAAAAUCUCUUUUUAAACCACAAAAUACCAAAGGAUAAACAACUAAUUCUGCUAUAUUUAUUUACAUUUUUACAUCAAAUGACAUCUUCAUCAUAUCCUCCAAACUAUACACAUAGCAAAAAAAAAAAGAAAAUAUAUAUAGAAACAUGAUUAAAACUAUCACUUCAAUCAUCGUCAGAAAAUAAACAUUUUAGAGAAGAGUUGUGUUGUGUAUGGAAAAAAAGAGAGGACCGAAUAGAAAAACAGAUUAAUUCAAUUUUAUUGAGAAUGUCGCGACACUUCACGAUGUUUUUGUCAAAUAAAAAUCCAUCUAAUAGUGGCCUUAACCACCAAGAGCAUCGUGGAGAAAGAAAAUAUAUAUCGCACAGUUGCAAUAGAAGAAGCAAAACUCGUUUUUUAAAAAGGCAAGUACGCAAUGAGAGAGUGGAUAGAGACUUCGUUUAAUGAUCAAAAUAUUCCGGGUUCGAAUCUCGUUCAGGUCGCCAAGAAUUUUCUAGAAUCUAUGAUCUAGUUCGUGUCAUUCAAAAGUAGUAGAAACAUCACGUUACGACAGAACUUUAGCCCCUAUAGGGUAAGAUGGGGUCAUUCGGAAACAUGUCUAUAUUAGAAUUUUGAAAUUUUCUCAGAGUUUCAGAUGGUCAAAGACAGAAAGAAAACUACGAAGAAGUACGAGGCUUUAGAUUGGAGAGUACCUCUUCGUUGUUUUUUUCCUAUUCUGAAGCGCUGUUAGGAAAUCUCAAAGUUCUAAAUUAGACAUGAUUCCAAAUUAUCCAUUUUUACCCUAGAGUCAUCACUUAAGAACAUUAUACAUUUUUCGGAAAUCUUGCAAAAAAGGUCACAAGGGGGUAAAUUCUGAAACUUUGUGAGAACGUGAGAAGUGCUAAAAAUAAAAAAAUACCGAAACUUGUCACUUAAGUGUGAUUCUUCAUGCUCAUUUUUGAGACAUUUCUCACGAUAUUUUCGUAAAACUUCUCACAAAAUGAUGGUCCAGUGACUCAAACAGAACAGUGCUCGAUUUUCGUUUGAACCUCAAUUUCGAGGUUAAAAAACAAUCUGAGUGAAAAGUUGUACAAGGAUGAAAAUGUAGCCAAUGAAAUUCUCUAUCAAACCCAUAAAACAUAUUGUUAGGGACAGUUCUAUUUUUCGAGAUAUUGUUGAUUAAAGUUGCAAAAAAGUUCGAUUUUUCCACGUUUUCUGAUAUAUAUGAGACUACAGCGCCCCUGGUGAAAGUUUCACGAACUCCAUCUGUCCAAAGGAUUAUCGGGCAUCUAAAGGAGAACAAAUAAUGUUCCCAUAUUAAGAAAUAAAUCGGUUCAGCAGAAUCGGAUAUAUAGGCGCCCCAGUAUCAAAAAAACGGCAAAAACAGUUUUGCCUAGAUUCUAGGCGCAAAAACAAAAUGAAAUCAAAAUGAUAAGUAUUUUCGUAAAUCAUUUGACCCUAGCAAUAGAAAAAAUAGCAUGAGAACCCAGGGACAGAAAAAAUUUAAAAUGGUUGCACAGUGUUAUUUAUUAUUAUGAUGGAAUUCCGUGAAAUAGACUCAUAAUUUGAUUAAAUAUAGUUAAUUCUGAAGACUUGUAGAUAUCACCACAAAAACAUUGAGAUGCAAUAUUGUGGUGGAAGCCUCUCAUUCUUUAGAGCUAUCCCAAAAUUUAGGUUAAGUUUGAGGAAAGUCCUUUGGCAACACACUAAUACGGUUAAUAAGGAAUGCAAAAGUGCAUAUUAAAACAAGGUAAACGACAAACUUAUGUAUAAGCAUAAAUUGAGGGAGAAAGUAUCUAGUUGUAUUUUAGAGUUUUUCAGCAACCGUAGCACCUCCAAAUAUUUGUUAAGUGUGCUACCGUACAUACAGGUGACUUUACAAUUAGAGAUUAACAUUGAAUUCCUGGGGUGGAAUGAUAACUUUACGACACUAUCGAUUCAAUAGUAUCGAUAAAUCUGUUUCUGUUACAGUAAGUGAAUGAUGACUUUUUACGCAUUGUUAGACCAUUUAUUGUGAUAUUCUUUAUAGGAUGUGACAUGUGACCUUUGAUAAAUAUUUGUACUACCUACAAUAAGUACAGCUAUCGAUUAAAAUUUUUCAGAAUCGAUAGUCGAUACUAUCGAAAAGAAGUUUUCAUGUCACCCAUCCAUUUCGUAAGCUUUUCUUUAAUUUUAGAUAAUUUUUGGACCAUUUUCAGUCUUAGAUAAUUUACUAAAUGAUAUGUUAUAGAAUCAAAAUUCUUAUAAUCUGCUUAUAGUGCUCUUGAAUCUAUCUCUAUGACUACUAAAAGUAAACUGGCGCAAUCGUAAAGGGGCUUAAGAGUCCCUACAAGAACUUUAAUACAAAAAUUUCAUUGUAAGUCUUUUAAAGUUCCAUUAUAAGACUUGUCAUUCUUGGUUCUAUAAGGCGGCUAUUUUGCUUCUUGGGAGCUUACAAAAAGCAGGGAUGCAAAGUUACGUUAAUAACUCCGGGAUCAUGGAAGAAGCAUCCACAUCACUGGAUAUAAUAUUCUUAAAAAAUGAUAACCUUGUAAUACAAUAUCUCGAUACGAUUAAUAAUAGUUUCUGUUAUUUCUUAGCACCUAAUGAUUCACGGUGAAUAAGCGAGGUUAGUGUUACCAGUGCUGCUGUUUAUAUUUUCUACUAGAAUUAUCUAAAAAUAAACAAAACUUUCAGGACUUCGUAGUUUAUUUAAAAAAGAAAAAAAAAUCACAAAUCUUCUGCGAUUUUCGGAAAUGCUGAAGUGAGAAAUCUUGAAUACGAUAAUUUAUGGAGUAUUCUGGUACGGAUAAACCAGAAGGUCCUUCUAAUUCUAAGAAUAUCUCCUCAAAGCAGAAGAUAAUCUCAAAUUCGAAUGAUCUUUGGAGUUUUUCUAUACACUAACCAUUAGAUACAACAGGUUUCUAAUAUUCAGGAGAAAAAAGAAGGAUCUUGACAGAGUUUAAUUUUUGUAACAGUACAAUAGUACAAAAGAUAAAAAAAAUCAUUAGAAAUAUCCAACUUGAAGCCUUCAUUGUGUCCCCUUAAUAUUUUUAAUACAAAUUAAAAAUGUUCAGCACAAAUCACGCUAAGCCCCUUCUAUUGUCAAUGUACGAUAUAUUAUUUUCUCCCAUCACUUUCCUAACUCAAAGCACUAUCGUAAAUUUUCACAAAUCGCUAUACAAGACUAGACACACUUGUUGCUCUGUUGUUCUAUCCCAAAAACAUAAAACUGCACUUAAUUUUUGUUGAAAGGGAAGUGUUUACAAUAUUCUAUAAAAUGUAAAGAUAAUAGUCACACUUCAGAACAAUGCAAUAUAUAUAUCCUGAAAUCUCUAGAAGGCAUUUGCAAGAAAUGUAUAAAUUUAAACAUUGAUAAAAGACAUAAAAUAAAUUUCGUAGAAGCUAAAUUCAUCCUUCAUCCCUUCAAAUUAAGUCAUUUUAGCACAUACUUUCCACACCCCAAUCUUUUUCUUUUGAAAUCUCUUUGUUCUGGGGAUCGUCCCACUCAAAAAUUAUUUUGGAAGAGCGUGCUAGACACAUUGAGGUCGACCUCUGACAUUUCAAAUUGGGCCAAUUUCAACCACCCCAUAUCAUGUGAAAAAUGAAUAAAAUUACUCUCAACAGAGGUGUAAAUAACCCCUUAAAUUUCAACUUGGCGUGAAAUUCUGACAAGUUAAGGGAAUAUCAAAAGGAUACCUCUAAAAUGUUCUUACAAUUUUUUUUCACAUUCAAAACACCUACACUUUUUUCCCAAAAUCGUUAUUCCGGUUAUUCAGUCCAACCCUAUAAGAAAUGGAUCCAGCCACGGAUGACAGACCGGAUAUUUCCAUGAGUGCCCAUGGAAAUAACCACUGGAGAUCCCUUAGCUUUCCACCUGGAUUCUUACCCCUGGUGUUCCGCAUGGAAUAAGGACGGAAAUUUCCCUUUAUAUGGGUGGAAAACACCAGGGUUAAUCCAGUGGUUUUCCCUUUGAGAUAUACCACGGGUAGACUCCCAUGGAAUCCGUGCGGAAUACCAGUGGAAAUUUCCAGCAGCAAUAUCCAGUGGUAGUCCAUGGGGUUUCCCAAGGGAUUUUUCAGUGAUACCCCCGGAAAUUUCCACUGGUAAUCCUCUGGUUUUCCACCAUGGUUAUAUGAGUGGAAUGACAGUGGAAAUUUCCAGGGUGAUGAGUGGAUAUCACCAUGGGUAGUCCAAGGGUUUUCCCGUAGAAAGUUCCAGGUGGAAAAUUCCAUCUUUCAGAUGGAAAAUCCCAAAGGAAUUCAUGUGGAGUACCAGUGGAAUAUUCCAGUGUAAACAUCCAGUGGAAGACCCUUGGUUCUCCCACGGUUAUAUACACUCAUACACAUGGUAAUAUCCACUGGUAAUCCUGUGGUUUCUCACCACGGUUAUAUGAGUGAAACAACAGUGAAAUUUUCCCUGGUGAUGGAUGGAAAUCACCAUGGGCACUCCGAAGGUUUUCCCAUAGAAACUUCAAAGUGGUGAAUUCCUACUUCCAGGUGGAAAAUUCCAGAAGAAUUUGUGUGGAGCACCAUGGAAAGUUCCAGUGUUCUAUUUUAUUAAAAAAAAAAAGAUUUCACUCUGCGAUAUGUCUAUUUUAAUAUUAAUCGAAAGAAUUUAUCACAACGGUCUCUGUAUUUCAAAUGUAAUCGACGAGUCGAUGAUGCGUUCGAUGAGUAAAUAACGCCAUUUCAGCGCACGCGCAUUGCUCACGGAUUUUUCUGGAAGUCGUGGUGAAUUGGUUCUUGUGCAGUUAUUUGUGAAAAAAAUAGAAUUAAAACUUUGAAAAACCAGUGACAAAAGUGUGCGGGAUGAACAAUAGAACUAGUUAAAUAAAGUGACACGGUUUUCAAUGCGAAAUAAAGAAAUUUAGUGCGCGAAACACAAAAAAAUCAUCUUCUGCGUCUCAUUCUUUGUGUUGACAAGACCAUAUUAUACACGAUAAGGCGAUGAAGUCCUGUGCCAAAAUAGUCGGUCAAAUCAAAGACAGCAAUAGGCCAUGCAGAAAGCGUAAGAAGGCAACGCCAGCAAUUCCAUUACCAAAGAACACUUCAGCAGUACCUGGGCCAUAUACUCAGCGAGAUUUGAAAUCGUCUGAAUCUACUCAUACAUCUAUCUAUCGUCUAAAUCGUAAGCUGUGUAAGGUGAUCAACGAUUCCUGCUUCUUUUGUAAUUCAUUAUAAUGUAAAUAUUUUUUCAAUCACGUCAAUAUUUUUUAUAUAUGUAUCUGAACAUUAAAUUAAUUUGAAGUUUAAUUAGAUUUUUUUUAAAAUUAAAUGUAUUAUUUUUUUUUUUAAUUUUAUUAAAAAAGUGAAGUUAAUACAUGAAAUAAAAUGUUCUCUGCUAUAUAUGACCAGUGUUAUUACUUUAGUCUCAAGCUUGAACGAUAAUCUGAAGUACAAAAAUUGCCUGAACGCUUACAGAAAAGUAUAUUCUUUAAUAGAAUGGAGAUAUUUCAUUAGGCAUAAAAAAAAGAAGGUCGCAUAGAAUUGACAUGUCAACUCCAAGAGAUUCUUAGUAUCAUCGAUAUGACAAUACUUUCGCCGCAUUCGAAGAGUAUAGUGCUAAAAGAGGAUCUUCUGUUGCAUCGCCAUCGCUCUCUUCCAGCACCAAGUCAUCAAGAGGAAACAUUUCUUAACAUCCAUGAAUUGCCAACGCAAUGGUCUGCCAGUGGAAUGACAUGGUACAGCUCUUACCAUGUGGAUUCCAUUGGUAUCCCAUGCGAAAAUACCGGCUGGUUUUCCGAGAUCACCCAUGGAGUGCCAGUGGAGUACCAGUGGAAAUUACCCCGCCCAGGUAAAGCAGUUACCACUGGGUUGCCAUUGGUAUCCCAUGGGAAAACACCGGCCGGUUUUCCGAGAUCACCCAUGGAGUGCCAGUGGAGUACCAGUGGAAAUUACCCCGCCCAGGUAAAGCAGUUACCACUGGGUUGCCAUUGGUAUCCCAUGGGAAAACACCGGCCGGUUUUCCGAGAUCACCCAUGGAGUGCCAGUGGAGUACCAGUGGAAAUUACCCCUCACAGGUACGGAACUUACCACAGGAAUUCCCUUGGUGUCCCAUGGGAAAAUACCGGCCAAUUUUCCGAGAGUACUCAUGGAUUUCCCAUAGAGUACCAGUGGAAAUUACCAUGCGGCAGCUUUAGAAUUUCAACGGGAAUGCCCAUGGAUUUCCACUGGAUAACACCACCACCGAGGCUGGUAGAUUCCCAUGGAAAUUGCGUGACGCGCCAAUGCAAAAUUACAAUGUACUUCUACAGGGGAAUCCAGGGGGAUAAAGGGUGGAUUUCACCAAGUGGACGCAUGGAACAUUCCAUUCUGUUACCAAUGGAAUUUCCAUUGGAUCGCGCCGGAUUUUUCUUAUAGGGAAAAGUUCGUAGAAGUCAUUAAACACCCUUUGUUGCUCAUAUUGUUUCUCUUUUACCCUUUAUGUUUCACUUAGCCUUCACAAUGUCUCAAAAUUUGAUUAAUUCCACUUAAUAUAUUUCAUUAUUUUAUGGUUUCUUUGCCCUAAUAAUCUGUCCAGUCGAAUUAGGAUAUAGGACUCUCAUACAGCUCACAUAUUGUAAUCGAUACGAAAAGUUGAAGUCUCAGAGAUAGUUCGGGAGCAUGAAUUAAGUAUCCUUCGCUAAAGACUGUGAAGUACCGAUCAGAGAACGGUAAGAAAUAUUUUUUUCUGUUUUUCGCAAAGGUACGAUAUUGACAGGAUGACUAGAGGAAUAAACCUGAAGUUAAACGUAAUUGAAAUGCAAAAAAUUUACUCAAAUUAUUUUUUCUUGAUGGUUUUUUUUUCUUUCGUUAUUCUGAUUUUCUUCUCGAAUGAAUUACUUUAAAAUGCUAAGACAGCGGUGGACGCUAAACCACAAUUCUAUUAUACUACAAAAUUCUAUCGUGAUCCCAAAAUUUAAUGAAUAAAUUAGGAAUAGGAUGAAUAACUUAACGAGGAUGCUGCAUAUUGCUAGCGGACGUUUUACCUCUUGAAAAUACGAGAAAGUGUCUCGGAUAGUAUGUUAUACUUGUUAAUGUAGGAUGUUAUAUCAACUAUACGGUGCUACCUAUAGUUAAGUUUACGACUUUAGGCUUUUUCUAAACCGAUAUCUAUCGCAAUUUUUAUUAUCCAGUAUAAUUAUCUCCCAAAAUUUACACAGUUGAUUCAGUUUGCCUACAUAUAUCUCCUUAUCUAUAUUCUGUCCCGUAAACUACUUCCCAAGAUUUUCAAUUAAGAUUAACUUUUGAACCAAAAACUUAAAAGAUCGAGCUUAUUACGAAUUUUCCUUCGCUACUGUAUUUACAGCGUCUGCAAGUUUACGAUCGAUGUAAACAUAUUUAUAAAGCACCUACUAAAAA